GUAGUCCACGCCGUAAACGAUGAGUGCUAGGUGUUAGGGGUUUCGAUGCCCUUAGUGCCGACGUUAACACAUUAAGCACUCCGCCUGGGGAGUACGGCCGCAAGGCUGAAACUCAAAGGAAUUGACGGGGACCCGCACAAGCAGUGGAGCAUGUGGUUUAAUUCGAAGCAACGCGAAGAACCUUACCAGGACUUGACAUCCUUUGAACACUCUAGAGAUAGAGCUUUCCCCUUCGGGGGACAAAGUGACAGGUGGUGCAUGGUUGUCGUCAGCUCGUGUCGUGAGAUGUUGGGUUAAGUCCCGCAACGAGCGCAACCCUUAAUCUUAGUUGCCAGCAUUCAGUUGGGCAC
RNAcentral lists this ribosomal RNA (350 nucleotides) under uncultured Caryophanales bacterium. RNAcentral's name for it is "bacterial SSU rRNA". It matches the Rfam family "Bacterial small subunit ribosomal RNA", at positions 790 to 1138 of the family's 1533-position model. Lineage: Bacteria; Bacillati; Bacillota; Bacilli; Caryophanales. The record is from RNAcentral.